Molecule: ribosomal RNA, 465 nt
Filed under: uncultured bacterium
Lineage: Bacteria
Description: partial 16S ribosomal RNA
Rfam family: Bacterial small subunit ribosomal RNA
Source: RNAcentral
GACGAACGCUGGCGGCGUGCUUAACACAUGCAAGUCGAACGGAAAGGCCCUGCUUGCAGGGUACUCGAGUGGCGAACGGGUGAGUAACACGUGGGUGAUCUGCCCUGCACUUCGGGAUAAGCCUGGGAAACUGGGUCUAAUACCGGAUAUGACCUUCCAUGUAGUGUGGGGGGUGGAAAGAUUUAUCGGUGUGGGAUGAGCCCGCGGCCUAUCAGCUUGUUGGUGGGGUAAUGGCCUACCCAGGCGUCGACGGGUAGCCGGCCUGAGAGGGUGGACGGCCACAUUGGGACUGAGAUACGGCCCAGACUCCUACGGGAGGCAGCAGUGGGGAAUAUUGCACAAUGGGCGGAAGCCUGAUGCAGCGACGCCGCGUGGGGGAUGACGGCCUUCGGGUUGUAAACCUCUUUCGACAGGGACGAAGCUUCGGUGACGGUACCUGUAUAAGAAGCACCGGCUAACUACGUG